This 334-nucleotide unclassified non-coding RNA is filed under the name uncultured Bartonella sp. RNAcentral's name for it is "partial 16S-23S ribosomal RNA intergenic spacer". Lineage: Bacteria; Pseudomonadati; Pseudomonadota; Alphaproteobacteria; Hyphomicrobiales; Bartonellaceae. The record is from RNAcentral.
UUUUUGAUAAGCCGUGAGGUCGGAGGUUCAAGUCCUCCCAGGCCCACCAAGUUAGAAUUACUUGUUGGAAUUGCUUAACCCACUGUUGAGAAACUCCCUCCUUUAUGAGAGAAGUUCUAAAAAUGAGAAAAAGCUCUUGAGAGCCUCAAAUGACAGGCUUCAAAUUCUCGAUAAACUUUAAAAGUGUUCGUAAAAUGUUCGUGAUAUAUUUUAUGAAAAUUGUGAUGUAUUUUAUAAAAAAUAUUGAGAGAUUUGCUUUCCUAUCAAGGAAAUUGAUAAAUAUCGGUUUGAGGGUUAGCGCUUUCAUUUAGGGGCCGUAGCUCAGCUGGGAAAA